GCCAGGCACAGUGACGUGUACCUGUAGUCUCAGUUACUCAGGAGGCUGAGGUGGGAGGAUCAUUUGAGCCCAGGAGUUUGAGGCUGCAGUGGGUCAUGAUUGCACCACUGCACCCCAGCCUGGGCCACAGAGCAAGACCCCAUCUCAA
This is an unclassified non-coding RNA of Pongo abelii (Sumatran orangutan), 148 nucleotides long. It matches the Rfam family "Metazoan signal recognition particle RNA". From Rfam's summary of the family: The signal recognition particle (SRP) is a universally conserved ribonucleoprotein. It is involved in the co-translational targeting of proteins to membranes. The record is from Ensembl. NCBI's taxonomy places the organism in Eukaryota, Metazoa, Chordata, Mammalia, Primates, Hominidae.